AGGUUGGGAUUGGUUGCAAUGCU
RNAcentral lists this non-coding RNA (23 nucleotides) under Xenopus laevis (African clawed frog). Its record names the gene xla-miR-92a-4-5p. Lineage: Eukaryota; Metazoa; Chordata; Amphibia; Anura; Pipidae. The record is from miRBase by way of RNAcentral. RNAcentral also lists the same sequence under 2 other names.